AAGUCGUAACAAGGUUUCACCAGGUGACAGACCCUUCUGUAACUACGGAGACCGUGCAACCCCUCGGGGAGGCAGCGCGACUAUAAAGAAGCUGACCGUAUGCAAGUUAGCGGAUGCUAGCAACACAAUCGAAUUGCGGGGACCUCCUAAAGCCCUAGACACCACACUACCGCCGAAAGGCGAUAGCGACCGGUAAAAGUUCUAGGGAUGUCACAGUGGACGAUCCGCAGCGAAGACCCUACCGGCUUCGGCCCAAGGGUACCGCUCACAGACUAGGUGAUUGUGGGCAGGCAACUGUCUAAGAUAUAGUCGAGUCCUAGGCGAGAGUCUAGCGUAUUUCAGUCCGUAGGUGAACCUGCGGAAGGAUCAUUACUGAGCUCAUGCCCUCACGGGCAGAUCUCCACCCUUGAAUAUGUUACCUUUGUUGCUUUGGCAGGCCGCUUCGGCUACCGGCUUUGGCUGGUGAGUGCCUGCCAGAGGACCCUAAACCCUGAAUUACAGUAUCGUCUGAGUACUAUACAAUAGUUAAAACUUUCAACAACGGAUCUCUUGGUUCUGGCAUCGAUGAAGAACGCAGCGAAAUGCGAUAAGUAAUGUGAAUUGCAGAAUUCAGUGAAUCAUCGAAUCUUUGAACGCACAUUGCGCCCCUUGGUAUUCCGGGGGGCAUGCCUGUUCGAGCGUCAUUAUAACCCUCAAGCCUAGCUUGGUGUUGGGGCAUGCUCCGGGCAGCUCUUAAAUCAGUGGCAGUGUCUUCCGGCUUUAAGCGUAGUAAUCUCUCGCUAUAGGGUCCGGAGGUUCGCUCGCCAGAACCCCCAAUUUUCUAUGGUUGACCUCGGAUCAGGUAGGGAUACCCGCUGAACUUAAGCAUAUCAAUAAGCGGAGGAAAAGAAACCAACAGGGAUUGCCUCAGUAACGGCGAGUGAAGCGGCAACAGCUCAAAUUUGAAAUCUGGCUCUUUCAGGGUCCGAGUUGUAAUUUGUAGAAGAUGCUUUGGGUGUGGCUCCGGUCUAAGUUCCUUGGAACAGGACGUCAUAGAGGGUGAGAAUCCCGUAUGUGACUGGUUGCCUUCGUCCGUGUAAAGCUCUUUCGACGAGUCGAGUUGUUUGGGAAUGCAGCUCAAAAUGGGUGGUAUAUUUCAUCUAAAGCUAAAUAUUGGCCAGAGACCGAUAGCGCACAAGUAGAGUGAUCGAAAGAUGAAAAGCACUUUGGAAAGAGAGUUAAACAGUACGUGAAAUUGUUGAAAGGGAAGCGCUUGCAAUCAGACUUGCGCGCGGUUGAUCAUCCGGUGUUCUCACCGGUGCACUCUGCCGCGCUCAGGCCAGCAUCGGUUUCGGUGGUUGGAUAAAGGCCUUGGGAAUGUAGCUCCUUUCGGGGAGUGUUAUAGCCCUCGGUGCAAUGCAGCCUACCGGGACCGAGGACCGCGCUUCGGCUAGGAUGCUGGCGUAAUGGUUGCAAGCGAC
Molecule: ribosomal RNA, 1460 nt
Filed under: uncultured fungus
Lineage: Eukaryota; Fungi
Description: eukaryotic LSU rRNA
Rfam family: Eukaryotic large subunit ribosomal RNA (bases 828-1460)
Source: RNAcentral